Molecule: microRNA, 23 nt
Filed under: Callorhinchus milii (elephant shark)
Lineage: Eukaryota; Metazoa; Chordata; Chondrichthyes; Chimaeriformes; Callorhinchidae
Description: eshark_NOVEL_36
Source: RNAcentral
UGUAAAACGUUCUGGUGAAUAAU